This 632-nucleotide long non-coding RNA is filed under the name Zostera marina. RNAcentral's name for it is "long non-coding RNA (ZMAR_LNC004890)". The record is from RNAcentral. Lineage: Eukaryota; Viridiplantae; Streptophyta; Magnoliopsida; Alismatales; Zosteraceae.
UACAAUACAAUACAAUACACCAUCAUCAUUCAAUCAUUCAUCAAUCACACCAGAAAAUGAAAAAGAAAGCAGGAAAGAUCGAAAGUAUGAUACCAGUGCAAGAAGAAGAUUCCGGGGACUGUGGAAUUUCUCCCAGUCUCUUUCUGCAGCAAAUUCAGUCUGCUUCUUCCUCAGUUCUUCUAUUGUAACACUCUCCAUUACCAACUUCUCUUGCUGUCUUUGAUCUACUUCUUUUGCCGUUGAUUGCUUUGUAUAUAUUUCACCUUCUCUCUGACAUUUCAAUUAUCAUUUACCAACCUUCAUUGUCUCUCAUCAGAUGGAUGGAUGGAUUCUAUGGGCGGCGGCCACGAUGAGAGUUUCUUCUUCAACCUGACACUUCAAUUGUGGAAUCAAUGAUUUUCACUUUUUGAAAAUAAUAAAUUUGUUGUUUGGUAAAAAAAAAUCAAUUGUUGCCAAUAAUUAUUGUACACAAUAAAGAAGAAAACUUUUCAUAUUUCCAUUUUUGCAAUUGUGGGGGUUGUUUAAGCCUCCAUUUUUGGUACAAUAUACAUGUGAAGUUUGAUACUUUUGCUGAAACAAAGUAAAUUCAAAUAAAACCAAACAUUCAGUAUAAUUUUUUUACUUGGUAUCAG